AACGAACGCUGGCGGCAUGCCUAACACAUGCAAGUCGAACGAGACCUUCGGGUCUAGUGGCUCACGGGUGCGUAACGCGUCGGAACCUUCCUUUAGGUUCGGACUACCUCAGAGAAAUGUGAGCUAAUACCGGAUGAUGUCUUCUACCCAAAGAUGUAUCGCCUUUAAAUGGGCCUGCUUUGGAUUUGCAAGUUGGUGAGGUAAAGGCCUACCAAGGCGAUGAUGCAUAGCUGGUGUGGGAGCAUGAUCAGCCACACUGGGACUGAGACACGGCCCAGACUCCUACGGGAGGCAGCAGUGGGGAAUAUUGGACAAUGGGCGAAAGCCUGAUCCAGCCAUGCCGCGUGAGUGAUGAAGGCCUUAGGGUUGUAAAGCUCUUUUAACCGAGAUGAUAAUGACAGUAUCGGGAGAAUAAGCGCCGGCUAACUCCGUG
Molecule: ribosomal RNA, 433 nt
Filed under: uncultured bacterium
Lineage: Bacteria
Description: partial 16S ribosomal RNA
Rfam family: Bacterial small subunit ribosomal RNA
Source: RNAcentral